RNAcentral lists this non-coding RNA (314 nucleotides) under bovine gut metagenome. The record is from RNAcentral.
CUUUAUACCACCACCAUUACUUAAUGGUAUAACAGAUUGUACAGAACCCUUACCGAACGAUUGUGUUCCUAAAAUAAUAGCUCUAUUAUUAUCUUGCAAUGCACCAGCUACUAUUUCUGAAGCCGAUGCUGAACCCUCAUUAAUAAGAACAACCAUUGGCUUAUCUGGUAUUAAAUCUUGAUCUGAUUUAGCGAAAUAUUCAUUCAUUAUAAUACCAUUUUUACCUUUUAUACUAACAAUUUUUUUACCUUUAUCAAGAAAAGCAUCAGAUAUAAACACAGAUGUAUCUAAUAAACCACCAGGAUUAUUUCUUA